Molecule: long non-coding RNA, 2192 nt
Filed under: Homo sapiens (human)
Lineage: Eukaryota; Metazoa; Chordata; Mammalia; Primates; Hominidae
Description: HSALNT0329589
Source: RNAcentral
AUCAUCAUUAUUGCUGUCAUCAAUUGCCUGUGAGGGGCAUUGGCCUGAGGCUGUUUCCUACUCUCUCCUUGAGCCUUUAUGGAUAUAUUUUGGAUAAAUGGACCUAGACCAACAUGGCAAAAGUCUGAACACAGAGGCUAAGUUUUUCACUCAGGAACCAGCUCCAGGGUUCCUUCGUUCUUCCUGAAAGUCUUGGACCCUCAGCAUCCUUCCCUAGACUACUCUGUGGCCUAGAUUCUGGGCUGCUUUGUGUGGGAAAGCUGGUGGCAGAUCAUGGAAAGACGGCCCAUCAUAGAACCAAACACACGUGAUCACAGGCAUGACGCAAAACAAUGAAGCUUGGUACCUUCCUCUCGCCACAGGAUGUUUGCAACUGCAGCAGCAGAGAAUGAGGAAAGCAGGAGUGUGAUGGAGUCAAGGAAAAAGAAGAAAGCAGUGUUAAACCGUCACUGCAGUGAUUCCAUUUAUGAAGAUCCUGGUACCUAGUCCAUCACUUACAGAAUCUAUACCACUCAUUGCCCUAGGAACAGUAUCUUGGGGGAAGCUCUGGACAUGAACAAAUGCUUUCAGGUCUCCAGACCCUUUGAUUCUUAAGUGAAUCUUUGAAAUCAUGCCCUAGGACCACAGAAGCUAAUGGAAUUUCUCACAUUUCAUGGAUGAUCAAGAGUAAGCAACAUCUCUCCCAGAUUUCCUGGACAACCAGCAGGAGAAGUGACUUUCAACUAGGAUUCUCCUAAGAUGACCACGUGAAAUACUUCUGAUUAUCUACUUUGAUGAAAAUGGCUUAGCCUGGAGUCUUUGACCAUGAUUAACACCCAUGUCUAUGAAAUCACACCUGCAGGCCUACCUGGGGAGCAGUGGUUAUGAGGAGAGCACGCUUAGCACACCGAUGGGCUGGACCCCUAGUGUAAAGGCUACCACACUCCCAAUGGUGUGCAUGUGUGCACAGGUCAGGUUCUGGGCCACUGUGGGACAUCACGUGGAUGAAGGGCAGAGGUUCAGGGCAUACAGCAAGUAAAAAGCAGAGCUGGGACUCGACUAUUUGGGUUUCCUUGUGUUCCUGGGCUCUGUCUGCUGUCCAGGGAAUCUCCCUGUCUGUUUCCAGAGUUGUCUAGGUUGCCAGGGAAGGCCUGCUCACCUCUGGGUGCCCUCCAAUUCCAGCUUUAUGCAAAGAGGGAUAUGAGGCUUACCCCUGUCUUCACGGGCUCAUGGUUGGCAGCUGUGGCCCUGGUCAAUUGGUGCCCUCCCUUGCCACCCAACACCUCCCAGCCAGCUCAGUGAGAAGCAUAAACGCGUGUCGACUUACGGGUCUUUCUAGCUGAGUCUUCAAUGAAGAGCGAGGAGAUAUCUUCAUCCACACCCACUUCAUUUUUGGCAAUGCAGGUGUAUGCCCCUGUGUCUUCAUACCGAACACUGCUGAUGUGGAGUUCGCUCCCAUUGGCUGCAGACAGGACAGUGCUCAGGGUGGACUGCUCAGCUGGAGACCCACUCACUUUCCUUUAUGGGGCCAUUGAGAGUGUUAGGGCUGCCCAGCCCCUGGGCAGCCAGCAGCCCUGAUUAUACGCCCAGGAAGGGCUGGCACAUCUGAAAUGCACUGAGGGUGAGCUGGACCUGAGUGACAGCUUCUCAUCAUUGCUGUCAGAAAGCCCCAAAAGAUCUGUGUGAGCCCAGAUAACAGGGAAAUUUGGGAGCCAUCUGUUCACUCCUAACCUGUCUGACUUAUAAACAAAUUAUACCUCUCGUUUCCAUUCCUGGAGUCUCAGCUUGAUUUGAAUGGGAAUAUCGCAUAGACGUCUACCAAGGGCAGUUCUUACCUAAAAGGGAGAGCUGUUUGGACAUCUGAGUUGAGACAUCCACGCCGUUUUUCAGCCAAGUGAUUCUGGGCAUGGGAAUGCCCUCAGCAUGGCAUCUUAGGCUGGCUGCCACUCCAGGCUCCUGUGCCUGGCUCUCUGGAUAGACACGGAUGACUGGCGGCACUGUGGGUGAGAGUCAGUGCUGGUGAGAAAGAGACGGCCCUGACCUGGACUUGGGCCUGUGGCCCAACCUGAGACCCUGCUCCAGAGGGGGUGAACCCAAGUAGGUGACUGGAGUUCUGUGUUUAACCAAAUUAUAAUAAUCCUGUCCAGCAACGCAAGCUCUAAAAGAAAGGGCUAUAAAAUAGAUUGCAGAUAAUAAACAUGUCAGACUUUGUA